Molecule: ribosomal RNA, 369 nt
Filed under: uncultured bacterium
Lineage: Bacteria
Description: bacterial SSU rRNA
Rfam family: Bacterial small subunit ribosomal RNA
Source: RNAcentral
GGGCCCGCACAAGCGGUGGAGUAUGUGGUUUAAUUCGAUGCAACGCGAAGAACCUUACCAGGGUUUGACAUCCUGCGAAUCUCUUGGAAACGAGAGAGUGCCUUCGGGAACGCAGUGACAGGUGGUGCAUGGCUGUCGUCAGCUCGUGUCGUGAGAUGUUGGGUUAAGUCCCGCAACGAGCGCAACCCACGUCUUUAGUUGCCAGCAUUUAGUUGGGCACUCUAGAGAGACUGCCGGUGAUAAACCGGAGAAGGUGUGGAUGACGUCAAGUCAUCACGGGCCCUUACGUCUGGGCCACACACGUGCUACAAUGGCCGGUACAGAGAGCAGCCACUACGCGAGUAGGAGCGAAUCUUCAAAACCGGUCUC